This 2903-nucleotide ribosomal RNA is filed under the name Escherichia coli. Its description in RNAcentral is "partial 23S ribosomal RNA". It matches the Rfam family "Bacterial large subunit ribosomal RNA". Lineage: Bacteria; Pseudomonadati; Pseudomonadota; Gammaproteobacteria; Enterobacterales; Enterobacteriaceae. The record is from RNAcentral.
GGGUUGUGAGGUUAAGCGACUAAGCGUACACGGUGGAUGCCCUGGCAGUCAGAGGCGAUGAAGGACGUGCUAAUCUGCGAUAAGCGUCGGUAAGGUGAUAUGAACCGUUAUAACCGGCGAUUUCCGAAUGGGGAAACCCAGUGUGUUUCGACACACUAUCAUUAACUGAAUCCAUAGGUUAAUGAGGCGAACCGGGGGAACUGAAACAUCUAAGUACCCCGAGGAAAAGAAAUCAACCGAGAUUCCCCCAGUAGCGGCGAGCGAACGGGGAGCAGCCCAGAGCCUGAAUCAGUGUGUGUGUUAGUGGAAGCGUCUGGAAAGGCGCGCGAUACAGGGUGACAGCCCCGUACACAAAAAUGCACAUGCUGUGAGCUCGAUGAGUAGGGCGGGACACGUGGUAUCCUGUCUGAAUAUGGGGGGACCAUCCUCCAAGGCUAAAUACUCCUGACUGACCGAUAGUGAACCAGUACCGUGAGGGAAAGGCGAAAAGAACCCCGGCGAGGGGAGUGAAAAAGAACCUGAAACCGUGUACGUACAAGCAGUGGGAGCACGCUUAGGCGUGUGACUGCGUACCUUUUGUAUAAUGGGUCAGCGACUUAUAUUCUGUAGCAAGGUUAACCGAAUAGGGGAGCCGAAGGGAAACCGAGUCUUAACUGGGCGUUAAGUUGCAGGGUAUAGACCCGAAACCCGGUGAUCUAGCCAUGGGCAGGUUGAAGGUUGGGUAACACUAACUGGAGGACCGAACCGACUAAUGUUGAAAAAUUAGCGGAUGACUUGUGGCUGGGGGUGAAAGGCCAAUCAAACCGGGAGAUAGCUGGUUCUCCCCGAAAGCUAUUUAGGUAGCGCCUCGUGAAUUCAUCUCCGGGGGUAGAGCACUGUUUCGGCAAGGGGGUCAUCCCGACUUACCAACCCGAUGCAAACUGCGAAUACCGGAGAAUGUUAUCACGGGAGACACACGGCGGGUGCUAACGUCCGUCGUGAAGAGGGAAACAACCCAGACCGCCAGCUAAGGUCCCAAAGUCAUGGUUAAGUGGGAAACGAUGUGGGAAGGCCCAGACAGCCAGGAUGUUGGCUUAGAAGCAGCCAUCAUUUAAAGAAAGCGUAAUAGCUCACUGGUCGAGUCGGCCUGCGCGGAAGAUGUAACGGGGCUAAACCAUGCACCGAAGCUGCGGCAGCGACGCUUAUGCGUUGUUGGGUAGGGGAGCGUUCUGUAAGCCUGUGAAGGUGUGCUGUGAGGCAUGCUGGAGGUAUCAGAAGUGCGAAUGCUGACAUAAGUAACGAUAAAGCGGGUGAAAAGCCCGCUCGCCGGAAGACCAAGGGUUCCUGUCCAACGUUAAUCGGGGCAGGGUGAGUCGACCCCUAAGGCGAGGCCGAAAGGCGUAGUCGAUGGGAAACAGGUUAAUAUUCCUGUACUUGGUGUUACUGCGAAGGGGGGACGGAGAAGGCUAUGUUGGCCGGGCGACGGUUGUCCCGGUUUAAGCGUGUAGGCUGGUUUUCCAGGCAAAUCCGGAAAAUCAAGGCUGAGGCGUGAUGACGAGGCACUACGGUGCUGAAGCAACAAAUGCCCUGCUUCCAGGAAAAGCCUCUAAGCAUCAGGUAACAUCAAAUCGUACCCCAAACCGACACAGGUGGUCAGGUAGAGAAUACCAAGGCGCUUGAGAGAACUCGGGUGAAGGAACUAGGCAAAAUGGUGCCGUAACUUCGGGAGAAGGCACGCUGAUAUGUAGGUGAAGUCCCUCGCGGAUGGAGCUGAAAUCAGUCGAAGAUACCAGCUGGCUGCAACUGUUUAUUAAAAACACAGCACUGUGCAAACACGAAAGUGGACGUAUACGGUGUGACGCCUGCCCGGUGCCGGAAGGUUAAUUGAUGGGGUCAGCGCAAGCGAAGCUCUUGAUCGAAGCCCCGGUAAACGGCGGCCGUAACUAUAACGGUCCUAAGGUAGCGAAAUUCCUUGUCGGGUAAGUUCCGACCUGCACGAAUGGCGUAAUGAUGGCCAGGCUGUCUCCACCCGAGACUCAGUGAAAUUGAACUCGCUGUGAAGAUGCAGUGUACCCGCGGCAAGACGGAAAGACCCCGUGAACCUUUACUAUAGCUUGACACUGAACAUUGAGCCUUGAUGUGUAGGAUAGGUGGGAGGCUUAGAAGUGUGGACGCCAGUCUGCAUGGAGCCGACCUUGAAAUACCACCCUUUAAUGUUUGAUGUUCUAACGUUGACCCGUAAUCCGGGUUGCGGACAGUGUCUGGUGGGUAGUUUGACUGGGGCGGUCUCCUCCUAAAGAGUAACGGAGGAGCACGAAGGUUGGCUAAUCCUGGUCGGACAUCAGGAGGUUAGUGCAAUGGCAUAAGCCAGCUUGACUGCGAGCGUGACGGCGCGAGCAGGUGCGAAAGCAGGUCAUAGUGAUCCGGUGGUUCUGAAUGGAAGGGCCAUCGCUCAACGGAUAAAAGGUACUCCGGGGAUAACAGGCUGAUACCGCCCAAGAGUUCAUAUCGACGGCGGUGUUUGGCACCUCGAUGUCGGCUCAUCACAUCCUGGGGCUGAAGUAGGUCCCAAGGGUAUGGCUGUUCGCCAUUUAAAGUGGUACGCGAGCUGGGUUUAGAACGUCGUGAGACAGUUCGGUCCCUAUCUGCCGUGGGCGCUGGAGAACUGAGGGGGGCUGCUCCUAGUACGAGAGGACCGGAGUGGACGCAUCACUGGUGUUCGGGUUGUCAUGCCAAUGGCACUGCCCGGUAGCUAAAUGCGGAAGAGAUAAGUGCUGAAAGCAUCUAAGCACGAAACUUGCCCCGAGAUGAGUUCUCCCUGACCCUUUAAGGGUCCUGAAGGAACGUUGAAGACGACGACGUUGAUAGGCCGGGUGUGUAAGCGCAGCGAUGCGUUGAGCUAACCGGUACUAAUGAACCGUGAG